RNAcentral lists this ribosomal RNA (402 nucleotides) under uncultured prokaryote. RNAcentral's name for it is "bacterial SSU rRNA". It matches the Rfam family "Bacterial small subunit ribosomal RNA", at positions 355 to 774 of the family's 1533-position model. The record is from RNAcentral.
UGGGGAAUAUUGCGCAAUGGGGGAAACCCUGACGCAGCAACGCCGCGUGAAGGAAGAAGGUUUUCGGAUUGUAAACUUCUUUGACCGGGGACGAUAAUGACGGUACCCGGAAAACAAGCCACGGCUAACUACGUGCCAGCAGCCGCGGUAAUACGUAGGUGGCGAGCGUUGUCCGGAAUUACUGGGUGUAAAGGGUGAGUAGGCGGAAUGGCAAGUCAGAUGUGAAAUAUCGGGGCUUAACCCCGGGGCUGCAUUUGAAACUGCUGUUCUUGAGUGAUGGAGAGGCAGGCGGAAUUCCUAGUGUAGCGGUGAAAUGCGUAGAUAUUAGGAGGAACACCAGUGGCGAAGGCGGCCUGCUGGACAUUAACUGACGCUGAGGCACGAAAGCGUGGGGAGCAAACA